RNAcentral lists this ribosomal RNA (702 nucleotides) under Triticum aestivum (bread wheat). Its description in RNAcentral is "partial small subunit ribosomal RNA". Lineage: Eukaryota; Viridiplantae; Streptophyta; Magnoliopsida; Poales; Poaceae. The record is from RNAcentral.
AUGGCGCUGGCCGUCGUCGUGGUGCUGCCCUCGCUGCCGCCGCCCCCACCGCCGCCGCCGGAGCAGAUCGUCGUCGCGGUGCUGCCCUCGCCGCCACCGCCGCCCCCGCCGGCGCGGGUCGUCGUCGUGGUGCCGGCGCGCGUGCGCCUCCCCGGCGUCCUCCGCGUCGCGGCCUUAGCCCUCAUCUACCUGGGCUUCGCGGUUGCGUGGGUCAUGGCCGCGGCCACGGCUGCAGAGGUCGUCGCGCGCCGCGCCUGGGGCGAGGGCUCCGCGCCAGUCCUGUUCCUCCAGGCGGUCAUGUACGGGGCCGUCAAGGUUUGCGUCUGCAUCAUCCUUGCGUUUUUCGCGCUUGUCGUCCUGCUGCUGUGCGCCCAGUGCGUGACCUACGUGAUUGCACCUGUAUCUGGAUCCACUUCGGGAUUCAAGAAGAGCACCUUCGGAGCAAUCAGGCCAGAAUUCACUGCACACUUUUUUAGGCUUCUGCGCCCAGCGGUGCUUGGAUUUGUCGUGGAUUUGGCCUUCGUCCUGCUAGCGGUCGCUGGUCUUCUGGUAGAGAUGAUGUCGCCACAUGUGAAGGGAUCGAUAUCUCAGGGGGAAAUGGUCGGUUCUGUAAUCGAGGAUGUGGGGAUAUUUGGUAUGCACGCGACAGUUUGCUUUCUUAUCAUCCCAGCUCUCGUUCUCAGUGUUUGGAGGGAGUGCUAG